CUGCUGCCUCCCGUAGGAGUCUGGUCCGUGUCUCAGUACCAGUGUGGGGGACCUUCCUCUCAGAACCCCUACGCAUCGUCGCCUUGGUGGGCCGUUACCCCGCCAACUAGCUAAUGCGACGCAUGACCAUCCGUAGCCGGAAUCGCUUCCUUUAAAACCCGAGGAGAUGCCUCCUCGGGUUGUUACGCGGUAUUAGACGGAAUUUCUUCCGCUUAUCCCCCUGCUACGGGCAGGUUUCAUACGUGUUACUCACCCGUGCGCCGGUCGCCGGCGGGAGUA
Molecule: ribosomal RNA, 279 nt
Filed under: uncultured bacterium
Lineage: Bacteria
Description: partial 16S ribosomal RNA
Source: RNAcentral